RNAcentral lists this ribosomal RNA (480 nucleotides) under Blastocystis sp. RNAcentral describes it as "SSU rRNA". It matches the Rfam family "Eukaryotic small subunit ribosomal RNA", at positions 460 to 953 of the family's 1831-position model. The record is from RNAcentral. Lineage: Eukaryota; Bigyra; Opalinata; Blastocystidae.
GGAGGUAGUGACAAUAAAUCACAAUGCGGAACUUCUGUUUUGCAAUUGGAUUGAGAACAACGCACAACAUUUAUCGAUAAACAAUUGGAGGGCAAGUCUGGUGCCAGCAGCCGCGGUAAUUCCAGCUCCAAUAGCGUAUAUUAACGUUGUUGCAGUUAAAAAGCUCGUAGUUGAAGUGAAGUGUGAAUCUCUUGGAUUUUCGUUUGAAUUUCCUUUAGCUUCAUACUCUUUCCAAAUAGUUUGCAUGGGUAUUUACUUAUCUGUGUAUUGCAUUUGGUCAUUUACUGUGAGAAAAUUAGAGUGUUCAAAGCAUACGUUUGUUUGAAUACAUUAGCAUGGAAUAAUUCGAAAAGGCUUUCAUGUUCGAUUUGAUAGGUUUGUUCGUGGAGGCAAGAUUAAAAGGGACAGUUGGGGGUAUUCAUAUUCAAUAGUCAGAGGUGAAAUUCUCGGAUUUAUGGAAGAUGAACAAGUGCGAAAGCA